Molecule: ribosomal RNA, 117 nt
Filed under: Oscillospiraceae bacterium
Lineage: Bacteria; Bacillati; Bacillota; Clostridia; Eubacteriales; Oscillospiraceae
Source: RNAcentral
GUCAGUGAUUUUGUUGUUGAGGGUACACCUGUUCCCAUUCCGAACACAGUAGUUAAGCUCAACUAUGCCGACAAUACUUGGUGGGAAGCUGCCCGGGAAGAUAGGUCGUCGCUGACU